Molecule: ribosomal RNA, 305 nt
Filed under: uncultured bacterium
Lineage: Bacteria
Description: partial 16S ribosomal RNA
Rfam family: Bacterial small subunit ribosomal RNA
Source: RNAcentral
CCUACGGGGGGCAGCAGUGGGGGAUAUUGCACAAUGGGGGAAACCCUGAUGCAGCGACGCCGCGUGAGUGAAGAAGUAUUUCGGUAUGUAAAGCUCUAUCAGCAGGGAAGAAAAAAGACGGUACCUGACUAAGAAGCCCCGGCUAACUACGUGCCAGCAGCCGCGGUAAUACGUAGGGGGCAAGCGUUAUCCGGAUUUACUGGGUGUAAAGGGAGCGUAGACGGCGAUGCAAGUCUGAAGUGGAAGGCGGGGGCCCAACCCCCGGACUGCUUUUGAAACUGUAUAGCUGGGGUGCAGGAGAGGUA